UGGGAGCUUGCUCCCUGAUGUUAGCGGCGGACGGGUGAGUAACACGUGGGUAACCUGCCUGUAAGACUGGGAUAACUCCGGGAAACCGGGGCUAAUACCGGAUGGUUGUCUGAACCGCNNNGUUCNNNCAUAAAAGGUGGCUUCGGCUACCACUUACAGAUGGACCCGCGGCGCAUUAGCUAGUUGGUGAGGUAACGGCUCACCAAGGCGACGAUGCGUAGCCAACCUGAGAGGGUGAUCGGCCACACUGGGACUGAGACACGGCCCAGACUCCUACGGGAGGCAGCAGUAGGGAAUCUUCCGCAAUGGACGAAAGUCUGACGGAGCAACGCNNCGUGAGUGAUGAAGGUUUUCGGAUCGUAAAGCUCUGUUGUUAGGGAAGAACAAGUGCCGUUCAAAUAGGGCGGCACCUUGACGGUACCUAACCAGAAAGCCACGGCUAACUACGUGC
Molecule: ribosomal RNA, 451 nt
Filed under: Bacillus velezensis
Lineage: Bacteria; Bacillati; Bacillota; Bacilli; Caryophanales; Bacillaceae
Description: bacterial SSU rRNA
Rfam family: Bacterial small subunit ribosomal RNA
Source: RNAcentral